Molecule: ribosomal RNA, 453 nt
Filed under: Streptococcus mitis
Lineage: Bacteria; Bacillati; Bacillota; Bacilli; Lactobacillales; Streptococcaceae
Description: bacterial SSU rRNA
Rfam family: Bacterial small subunit ribosomal RNA
Source: RNAcentral
GACGAACGCUGGCGGCGUGCCUAAUACAUGCAAGUAGAACGCUGAAGGAGGAGCUUGCUUCUCUGGAUGAGUUGCGAACGGGUGAGUAACGCGUAGGUAACCUGCCUGGUAGCGGGGGAUAACUAUUGGAAACGAUAGCUAAUACCGCAUAAGAGUAGAUGUUGCAUGACAUUUGCUUAAAAGGUGCAAAUGCAUCACUACCAGAUGGACCUGCGUUGUAUUAGCUAGUUGGUGAGGUAACGGCUCACCAAGGCAACGAUACAUAGCCGACCUGAGAGGGUGAUCGGCCACACUGGGACUGAGACACGGCCCAGACUCCUACGGGAGGCAGCAGUAGGGAAUCUUCGGCAAUGGACGGAAGUCUGACCGAGCAACGCCGCGUGAGUGAAGAAGGUUUUCGGAUCGUAAAGCUCUGUUGUAAGAGAAGAACGAGUGUGAGAGGGAAAGUUCACA